This 424-nucleotide unclassified non-coding RNA is filed under the name fungal sp. Its description in RNAcentral is "partial internal transcribed spacer region". The stretch from base 1 to 46 matches the Rfam family "Eukaryotic small subunit ribosomal RNA", at positions 1786 to 1831 of the family's 1831-position model. The record is from RNAcentral. Lineage: Eukaryota; Fungi.
AAGUCGUAACAAGGUUUCCGUAGGUGAACCUGCGGAAGGAUCAUUAACGUAGUUUUGAUUUGGGAGAGGAGUUCUUUUACUUCUCUUUUCCAUUUCUUCACCACAUGUUGUGCUCUUAAAAGAUUGUCUUUGGUGGUUAAACUCAUUUGUUUGAGGCACCCGUUCUGGUUACCCAGAACCAACUCGUUGUUUUUUUUUUUUAUCUUCUUUUUGCAUGUCAUUCAUGUCAUUAAGAGAGCAAAAAAAAAACGACAAGUACAAAAGAAGUUGGAGGCUUGUUCCUUGAAUUUGUUUUUGUUACUUGGAAGAGGGGCCACCGCUUUUUUUAAACAACUUUUUUUUGUCUGUAUAUAUCUUUAUUCUGUUGAAAUAUUCAAAACAUUUUAACAAGAAACAACUUUUGACAACGGAUCUCUUGGCUCUC